Long non-coding RNA from Dermacentor albipictus, 760 nucleotides. RefSeq lists it as uncharacterized. The record is from RefSeq and is a predicted model, not a curated record. Lineage: Eukaryota; Metazoa; Arthropoda; Arachnida; Ixodida; Ixodidae.
UCGCUCUUAUCAGGUGCUAUGGAGAAGCUUCAUUUUACGCCGCCUUGGUUAGAGGAGGCUUGCAUCGCGGACCGCACUUCGCAGUGCCGCAUGCUUACUCAGUUACUGAUUUCCGAGUAACUCCAAGGAUGCAUACGGCUCCGACUGACCAGCGAGUUCUUGAAGACCUCGGUCGAGUGGAAGCGACGCUCUUCCUACCUGAAGCUGGUCCUUCCCGCCCCUUGUGUGCCGAGCGCACCGGAGGCCGCCCAGCCUCACGCACCGCGGCGUCUGCUGGUGUACGGCGCGGUGUUCUCCCUGAACGUGGCCCUGACGCUGCCUCUGGCCUGGUUGGGGGCCAUGGAGCUGCGCAAAGCGAUACCAACUGUGCUGACCUUCUACGCGUCCGUGUUUCUGAGCCUGCUCUCGAUUGCGUGGAUCCUAAUGCCCAUCGCUUGUUUCGCGAUGUACUUCAAGAAGAAAAGGAAGCCGGAGACUUCAGAGGUGGUCAUGGAGUCUUAAAUUGUGAAGUUUCCAAGAAUAAUAAUGGUAACAGAGUGGCUGGCCUGAAGAAGAAAGAAAAACAAAAAAUGCAAAUUCUUGUUUUUUGUACGCUUUCCAUUUUUAACUCCAGAAUCCAUCGAUAAGCACUCGAUCGUGUGUGUUUUUCUUGCGUUUACUAGAUUUACUUGCACAGUUUAUCACAUUACGAGGGAUAUCGAAGAAUGAGGCGUGUAAUGACAUUGCCUUUAUCUAAGGCGAGUGUCUGUAUGUCUGCGAG